Molecule: transfer RNA, 63 nt
Filed under: Ictidomys tridecemlineatus (thirteen-lined ground squirrel)
Lineage: Eukaryota; Metazoa; Chordata; Mammalia; Rodentia; Sciuridae
Description: Spermophilus tridecemlineatus (thirteen-lined ground squirrel) tRNA
Rfam family: tRNA
About the family: Transfer RNA (tRNA) molecules are approximately 80 nucleotides in length.
Source: Rfam by way of RNAcentral
GUGUAGCUCAGUGGUAGAGCACUUGUCUAGCAUUCAUGAAUUCUUGGGUUCCAUUCCUGGCAC